CUCAAUGUAGCAAAUUACAUGCAAUGGGUUUAAGCUCCAUAAAUAGAGUUUCUCUCUUUGAGA
RNAcentral lists this transfer RNA (63 nucleotides) under Olivierus martensii (Chinese scorpion). RNAcentral describes it as "Mesobuthus martensii (Chinese scorpion) tRNA-Leu". The record is from RNAcentral. Lineage: Eukaryota; Metazoa; Arthropoda; Arachnida; Scorpiones; Buthidae.